This 292-nucleotide ribosomal RNA is filed under the name uncultured Bacteroidota bacterium. RNAcentral's name for it is "uncultured Bacteroidetes bacterium partial 16S ribosomal RNA". Lineage: Bacteria; Pseudomonadati; Bacteroidota. The record is from RNAcentral.
GGACUACCCGGGUAUCUAAUCCUGUUUGAUCCCCACGCUUUCGUGCCUCAGCGUCAGUUACAGUUUAGCGAGCUGCCUUCGCAAUUGGUGUUCUGUGUCAUAUCUAUGCAUUUCACCGCUACAUGACACAUUCCGCCCGCUUCAAAUGUACUCAAUCCUGAUAGUUUUACGGCCAGUUUCCUUGUUGAGCAAGGAGAUUUCAACCGUAACUUUCCAGGACGCCUACGCACCCUUUAAACCCAAUAAAUCCGGAUAACGCUCGGGUCCUUCGUAUUACCGCGGCUGCUGGCAC